This 120-nucleotide non-coding RNA is filed under the name Blautia luti. RNAcentral's name for it is "NiCo riboswitch". It matches the Rfam family "NiCo (Nickel/Cobalt) riboswitch aptamer". The record is from RNAcentral. Lineage: Bacteria; Bacillati; Bacillota; Clostridia; Lachnospirales; Lachnospiraceae.
ACAGUACAAACUGAGCAGGCGAUGCCCGCAGGAUGAGAGAUCAAUCAUACUCAGGGCGUGGGGCCGGGCUGCACGAAGCGGCAGCAGAUAUGAAUAUUACAGACAUAUCUGUGGGACAGU